GGAGCUGGAUAGCUCAGUUGGUUAGAGCGUGGUGCUUAUAGUGAUAAGAUUGCAGGUUGGAUCCCUGUACGGGACAGCUGCA
Molecule: non-coding RNA, 82 nt
Organism: Podarcis lilfordi (Lilford's wall lizard)
Lineage: Eukaryota; Metazoa; Chordata; Lepidosauria; Squamata; Lacertidae
Source: the annotation of a GenBank genome assembly